RNAcentral lists this non-coding RNA (28 nucleotides) under Mus musculus (house mouse). The record is from RNAcentral. Lineage: Eukaryota; Metazoa; Chordata; Mammalia; Rodentia; Muridae.
UAAUAGACCAAGUAUGUUAAAUAGGUGA